Molecule: ribosomal RNA, 592 nt
Filed under: uncultured bacterium
Lineage: Bacteria
Description: bacterial SSU rRNA
Rfam family: Bacterial small subunit ribosomal RNA
Source: RNAcentral
GUUUGAUCAUGGCUCAGGACGAACGCUGGCGGUGUGCUUCACACAUGCAAGUCGAACGGGGUAGCAAUACCCAGUGGCGGACGGGUGAGUAACACGUAGGAAUCUGCCUUUAGAUGGGGGAUAGCAGGCCGAAAGGCCUAUUAAUACCGCAUAUGCCGAAAGGUGAAAGGAGCAAUCCGUCUGAAGAUGANCCUGCGUCUGAUUAGCUAGUUGGUAAGGUAAAGGCUUACCAAGGCUACGAUCAGUAGCUGGUCUGAGAGGAUGAUCAGCCACAAUGGAACUGAGACACGGUCCAUACUCCUACGGGAGGCAGCAGUGGGGAAUUUUACACAAUGGGCGAAAGCCUGAUGUAGCGACACCGCGUGAGCGAAGAAGCCUUUUGGGGUGUAAAGCUCUGUCAGCAGGGACGAAAAAAAUGACGGCACCUGCAGAGGAAGCAUCGGCUAACUACGUGCCAGCAGCCGCGGUAAGACGUAGGAUGCAAGCGUUGUCCGGAUUUAUUGGGCGUUAAGAAUUCNUAGGCGGUUUGUUAAAUCUGAUGUUUAAGACUGGGGCUCAACCCUGGGACCGCAUUGGAUACUGGCCAGACUCC